RNAcentral lists this transfer RNA (77 nucleotides) under bacterium. RNAcentral's name for it is "tRNA-Ala". It matches the Rfam family "tRNA". From Rfam's summary of the family: Transfer RNA (tRNA) molecules are approximately 80 nucleotides in length. The record is from RNAcentral.
GGGCCCGUAGUUCAGUUGGUUAGAAUGCCUGCUUUGCAAGCAGGAGGUCAGCGGUUCGACUCCGCUCGGGUCCACCA